GAUGAACGCUGGCGGCGUGCCUAAUGCAUGCAAGUCGCACGCAUCGUGCUUGCACGGUGAGUGGCGCACGGCUGAGGAACACGUGGGUGACCUGCCCUGGCGUGGGGGACAACGGGCCGAAAGGUCCGCUAAUCCCGCAUACGCUCAUCACCGAUGGGUGGUGAGGAAAGCAGCAAUGCGCGCCGGGAGGGGCCUGCGGC
Molecule: ribosomal RNA, 200 nt
Filed under: uncultured bacterium
Lineage: Bacteria
Description: partial 16S ribosomal RNA
Rfam family: Bacterial small subunit ribosomal RNA
Source: RNAcentral